Labrus mixtus (cuckoo wrasse) is the source of this 164-nucleotide long non-coding RNA. RefSeq lists it as uncharacterized. The record is from RefSeq and is a predicted model, not a curated record. The transcript is spliced from 2 exons. Lineage: Eukaryota; Metazoa; Chordata; Actinopteri; Labriformes; Labridae.
ACCCCCCCACCAGCUCAGGAGCGCCCACUGUGGGCAGCCCCCUCACUCUGAGACCUCUCCAUUAGUGCAUGUCCAUAGGAUCCUGUUUGUGCAUCAUGUUUACUAGACAGAGUGUAAAAAACUAAUUUCCCCUCGUGGGAUCAAUAAAGUAUAAAUUAUUAUUA